This 561-nucleotide unclassified non-coding RNA is filed under the name Rhopalosiphum maidis (corn leaf aphid). RNAcentral describes it as "serine hydrolase-like protein, transcript variant X4". Lineage: Eukaryota; Metazoa; Arthropoda; Insecta; Hemiptera; Aphididae. The record is from RNAcentral.
UGUGCGUUCAGUAGUUUAGUUUUAGUAUCAUUAAAUACUUAAAUGUUAAAAUAGUAAAUAAAUAAGUUACAUAAAUAAUAUAUUUAUUGCGAAUUGAUAUUUUUUUGACAACAGGAUGAGCAUAUUAGUCGAUAAGGAAUUACGAAUCAUGUUCGAAGACCGAAAUUUUAUUAUACUUUAGCCUGUAAACUACAUGACUGUCGAUUCUGCUGACGAAAGCCAGAACCUUAUUUCCAAUGCCAAUAGUGAUGUCCAGUCAAUGUUAAUCUGAAAUUCUUAGACGUUUGGUAUCAACACUUAUACCUAUUUUAAAAGUAUAAGCAAAAGUGCUUGGUAUUUAGGAUCUCAAUAAGAACCGUACAAAUUUAGUUUCCAGAAUGAAUCCUCAAGAAAUUUCGAUUCCAGUUCCUUGGGGACAUAUUGCUGGUACCCACCAACAAUGUAUAAUAUUUUAAGUGUUACACGGUGGACAAAAGUCGGCGUCUCACUCAUGAUUCCCGUUGUGAUUUGUAGCGAAACUGUGGAAAUCCAAAGACGACGGCCGCGGCGAACGGGUCAUGU